UACCGCGAAGCCAGUUCAGAAUGACCGAAGAAGCAUGCCAAACACGGAGUCAGAAACGAGCGCUUGAACUGGACCCAACGGAGGACGACGUGGAGAGCAAGAAAAUAAAAAUGGAGAGAGGAUUGUUGGCUUCAGAUUUAAACACUGACAAAGACAUGAAGGUGACACCUGAGCCGGGAGCGGGUCCAGCCCAAGGAUUGCUGAGGGCAACAGGGGCCACGACGGUGGCCGUCGGCAGAGGUGAAGGUCUGGUGGGUGAUGGACCCGUGGGCAUGCCCUCCUCAUACAGUGACAUGAAAUCUGAGACGAGACCCCCUCACCCGACGUGAUUGUACUCUCCCACAACGAGCAGCCCUCCAGCCCGAGAGAAUGCGCUGAUCAUGGUGGCCUUGAAGGAGACUAGCACCGAGGUUCUCAUGAAAAGCAACCCGAAAGAACGAGAAAGGAUGUUUAAGCAGCUGAAAGAAGAAUUGAGGUUAGAAGAAGCAAAACUCGUUUUGUUGAAAAAGUUGCGGCAGAGUCAAAUACGAAAGGAAGCCACCGCCCAGAAGCCCGCAGGUUCUGUCUGGAGCGCGGUGACCACCCCUCCGCCGCUUGUUUGGGGCACCCAGAACAUUCCUGCUGGCAAGCCAUCACUCCAGAUGUCUUCAGCUCGGAUGUUCGGCAGUGUCAUAUCCCCGCCCCAGGUCCGAGGUGGGCAGCAGGUGUCCUCGAAGCUGGGGCCGCAGGCAAACUCGCAGGUCGUCAUGUCCCCGCUCGUUAGGGGGCCCCAGCAAAUCCACAGCAUUAUGCAACAUUCCAGCACAGGCCCACCGCCCCUCCUUCUGGCCCCCCGGGGCAUCGGUGCCCAGUGUGCAGACUCAGGGACAGAGGAUCGUCCAGCAGGGUCUCAUCCACAUUGCCAGUGUUCCCAACACCAGCCUGCUCGUCAACAUCCCACAGCCCACCCCAGCAUCACUGAAGGGGACGACAGCCUCCUACGCUCAGGCCAACUCCACCCCAACUAGCGUGGUCUCUGUGGUCACUUCCACCGAGUCUUCAGCAAGCCGACAGGCGGCCGCCAAGCUGGUGCUGCGCAAACAGCUGGAGAAGACGCUACUCGAGAUGCCCCCCACCCGAGCCCCCAGCCCCAGAGAUGAACUUUCUGCCCAGCGCCCCCAACAAUGAGUUCAUCUACCUGGUCGGCCUGGAGGAGGUGGUGCAGAACCUACUGGAGACACAAGCGGGCAGGAUGUUGGCCGCCGCUGUGCUGUCCCAGGAGCCCUACAUGGGUGCACACUGCAAGGUGGACUUCACGUGCCACUGGCGGGAGGAGAAGAGCGGCGCCAUCAUGUGUGAGAACUGCAUGACGACCAACCAGAAGAAGGCGCUCAAGGUGGAGCACACCAGCCGGCUGAAGGCCGCCUUCGUGAAGGUGCUGCAGCAGGAGCAGGAGAUUGAGCAGCAGCUCCUGCAGCAGGGCACAGCCUCUGCUGCACAGGCCGAGGCCGAGGCCGAGGCCGCGGCCGCGGCCGCCGCCGCCGCCCCACAUCCCACGCGGAAGCAGGUCAUAAAACUCCGGCGUAGGUUGGCGUUCCACUCAGGAGAGGCCUGCGACUAGAGUAACGGGGCUGUGCCACAGGCCUUUAGCCUGCUGUCCCGGGGUUCGGCCAUGACGCCCCGAGGUGUCCUGCAUACGUUCAGUCCGCCACCCAAACUGCAGAACUCAGCCUUGGCCACAGGCCUGGUCAGCAGGACCGGCAGACAUUCCUAAUGAACCUGUCAAGGGCAGCGGCACCUCCAACUGGAAGAAGACGCCCCUCAGCACAGGCGGGACCCUUGCGUUUGUCAGCCCAAGCCUGGCGGUGCACAAGAGCUCCUCGGCCGUGGACCGCCAGCGAGAGUACCUCCUGGACAUGAUCCCACCCCGCUACAUCCCCCAGUCAGCCACGUGGAAAUAGUGCGAGCCAGGCCCCGUGGAAGACGGGCUCCCUCCUCCCCCACCUGGCCCCCAGUCUAGAAGGACCCACUGCACCACCCUCCGCUGGCUCGGGAAGACACCGUGCCAGUCCCAAGAGCAAGCACCGGCCGUGCUGCAGAGGCGAGACCUCAAUUCUUGGCUGCGAAGUUUCAUCAGGGCUGGGGGGCUGGUGCCACCUCAUAGGCAGACAAGGAUCAUCGCUGGGGGACCUUUCCCGUGGGCUUUCUUCCUUUCUCUCUUUGCCUUUAGUUUGCCCGACACCAGCAGAAAAGUGGACCUUGGGGGCUGGUUCUGCUCCCGGCCCCCUUGUUCGGCCCCUGCCGGCACACGGGCGGCUCACCCUGGACACUGUGACGCGCAUGGGCAAGGCCAGCGCCCGGGGCUUCUGAACCGAGCGGGGCGUUUCGUUUUGUUUUUGCUUUUCCCCGUCUUAGGCUCCCGAUCUUUGACUGCCUUCCCAUGGCGAUCUGUAAGUUGAAAGAUUUUUUUUUUUUUUCCUCAUGAUGAUGGAGUUAAAAGUAAACCGUGCAGACCCUGGGGUCUUUGUUGUGGGCUGCGCCGUCCUGCUGGCCCUGUGCCCUGGAGGGUGGGUGGCUCAUGGUGCCAUAGCCCCUGGCAGGGACGGCCGGCCAGCCCCGGUGACUGACGGACAGAUGCAGGAUGACCGAGGCAGCCCUCGCUCCGGCUGAACGCUUCCACUGCUGCUUGUUCUGGAGACCCCCGCCCCCGGACUUCCCAGACUUAGCAGAAGAACAAACUGAAGAACAGACCCAGCCAGAGAAGCAGGGAUUCCAGAAGCUGCCCACGAAGGGAGGAGGAGAGGAGAGGAUCCGGUCGGCAGCAGCCCCGAGCAGGAAGCUGGAGUGGGGACUAUUGCGAGGUUUUUCUGUUGUGGUUUAUUUUAUUAAAUCCUUUCCUUUUUUCUAUUCAUUUCGAUGGACGCAAUCUUAAGCCACCCUGGCCUAGUUCCUGGCAGGUGAAUGUGCACAGGUGUGUGCAGGUUGGGAGGCACCAUCCAGGUUUGCAGCGAGCCGCUGCGCACAGACUUCAGGUUUUCCGUUUGGGUCUAGUUUAGAACCUGUCCUUAAACCUAGGGGUUGCUGUCAGGAUUUGCUUUCAGACAUUUUUUUUUUUUUGUAACUCCCUUUAGAGUCUACAAAAAUGUUUUAAAAGGAUCAGGUCUGCUUUUAGUUUCAUUUUUGCUUCUUUCCUGUCCCACUCUUUAAAAAUUGGUUCUAUGAGAGGAAAGGCAGAAGCCAUUCUGUGUUUCCUGCACGCUGGGCCGGCUUCAUGACGGUGCAAGGGCGUCCCCGUGCCCACUUACAUGCGUGUGUCUCCGUGAGGACUGGGUUCCACCGGUCCCAGUUGAGCUCCAGCCCUGGUUUUCCUGCUCAUGCAAUUAGGGAUUUAAAUUAAAUUAAAUUUUUUUUUUUUUUUUGUAGGGCAGCCGCCUUCAAACACAACUGCUACAAGGUUCUUAUAAAGGCUCAUUUAAUCACCCACCCCCCCAAAAAAGAAAACAGUGUAUAAUUUUAGUCUUUUUAAAUUAUUUUGUUGUUGUUGUUUUGAGACAAGAUCUUACCGUC
RNA transcript from Piliocolobus tephrosceles (Ugandan red Colobus), 3546 nucleotides. It is a transcript of the gene named transcriptional repressor p66-alpha pseudogene, with no coding region annotated. The transcript has a single exon. NCBI's taxonomy places the organism in Eukaryota, Metazoa, Chordata, Mammalia, Primates, Cercopithecidae. The record is from RefSeq and is a predicted model, not a curated record.